UCCGGAGGGGGCUAUCGUUGUCCGGAAUUACUGGGCGUAAAGGGCGCGUAGGCGGCUUACCAAGUCCGAGGUGAAAUCCCGGGGCUCAACCUCGGAAGUGCCUUCGAAACUGGUAGGCUAGAGUGCGGGAGAGGGGAGUGGAAUUCCCGGUGUAGCGGUGAAAUGCGUAGAUAUUGGAAAGAACACCGGUGGCGAAGGCGGCUCCCUGGUCCGGUAGUGACGCUGAGGCGCGAAAGCGUGGGGAGAAAACAGG
RNAcentral lists this ribosomal RNA (253 nucleotides) under uncultured bacterium. RNAcentral's name for it is "partial 16S ribosomal RNA". It matches the Rfam family "Bacterial small subunit ribosomal RNA", at positions 524 to 776 of the family's 1533-position model. The record is from RNAcentral.